AUGCCUUGUCUUACUUUUUCUGCGUACGUGUUUGUGUCACAGGCUGCAACACAUCUUGCAAAGCGUGGGCUGGCAACUGUGGUUUACGGCGAGGCAGCCGCGGCCGCAAAAUCAUCUAAUGCCGCAGGUAUGCAUUGCAUUGCUUGCUGCCCCUCCCUCCGCCGCAUUCAGGAUUUACUACAGCUUCCGUCGAACUACUUAUGUGUCCUCAACUGCCAACAACUAGCUGGUACUAAUCUCCGGUCAAAUCGGAAAAAAACACUGACAAGAUUAGCAUCACCCCCGCGCAAGGAUGGCGCGCACAGAGAAAUAUAA
This 315-nucleotide ribosomal RNA is filed under the name Triticum aestivum (bread wheat). RNAcentral's name for it is "partial small subunit ribosomal RNA". Lineage: Eukaryota; Viridiplantae; Streptophyta; Magnoliopsida; Poales; Poaceae. The record is from RNAcentral.